UGGGGAAUAUUGCACAAUGGGCGCAAGCCUGAUGCAGCCAUGCCGCGUGUAUGAAGAAGGCCUUCGGGUUGUAAAGUACUUUCAGUCGGGAGGAAGGUGGUAAGGUUAAUAACCUUGGCCAUUUACGUUACCGACAGAAGAAGCACCGGCUAACUCCGUGCCAGCAGCCGCGGUAAUACGGAGGGUGCAAGCGUUAAUCGGAAUUACUGGGCGUAAAGCGCACGCAGGCGGUUGAUUGAGUCAGAUGUGAAAUCCCCGGGCUUAACCCGGGAAUUGCAUCUGAUACUGGUCAGCUAGAGUCUUGUAGAGGGGGGUAGAAUUCCAGGUGUAGCGGUGAAAUGCGUAGAGAUCUGGAGGAAUACCGGUGGCGAAGGCGGCCCCCUGGACGAAGACUGACGCUCAGGUGCGAAAGCGUGGGGAGCAAACAGG
This 429-nucleotide ribosomal RNA is filed under the name Chloroflexota bacterium. Its description in RNAcentral is "Chloroflexi bacterium partial 16S ribosomal RNA". It matches the Rfam family "Bacterial small subunit ribosomal RNA", at positions 355 to 776 of the family's 1533-position model. Lineage: Bacteria; Bacillati; Chloroflexota. The record is from RNAcentral.